CAGCGAAAGAGGGCUUUGGCUAUCAUUACUUUUCAUCCUUGAAGUCUCCAGCAAAGUCUCAUUCCCCUGCAGGCCUUGCCCCUUCCAUUUCCUUCUCACCUGUCCUCUUUUUCACCCUCUUCUCUUUGCUCUUCAUGCUUGCUGUCCCCCAGGACUCUGAGGAGGAAGUCCAGUAGGGUCAAAGGCUUCUCACCAGGCCUCUCACCAGCCCCUCAUCUGGCCCUGUACACCUGUAACACCCCUGAAUCCUCCUCAGGGUACUUCUCUGAGGAUGACUCUGCAGGGCACUCCGUUAUCCACCAGCCUGGCUCUGCAUCCACCUCCAAUAAUGGUGCCUCCCAAGUUGGCAUCUUUAACUGGAUGGCAAUAUACAUUUCAGGUUGGCUCUUUGCAGCAUUCCAGUGGUGCCUGGGAAACGCCUGGCACUGCCUGACCACAGCUGCCUCCCUCCAGGAUUUCUUUCUGUUAAUCAGGAGCUUUUUCACUCGGAAGAAGUUGCUCCUCUUUGUCUUGGGGAUGCUGUUCUUUGUGGCUUCGCUGGCUUAUGGUGAGCCUUGUGGAGUGCCCAGGUCGGCCACUCCAGAUGGGGGCGAAGGACAAGGGUUUGGGGA
RNAcentral lists this long non-coding RNA (611 nucleotides) under Vombatus ursinus (common wombat). Its description in RNAcentral is "lncRNA (ENSVURG00010017633.1)". Lineage: Eukaryota; Metazoa; Chordata; Mammalia; Diprotodontia; Vombatidae. The record is from RNAcentral.